CGAGCCCCGUGGGUGAGGCGGCGGCGGUAACUCUUUGGUGCUGUGACGGCCUCAAUCGGACCCGCGAGAGCU
This is a small nucleolar RNA of Trypanosoma brucei brucei TREU927, 72 nucleotides long. NCBI's taxonomy places the organism in Eukaryota, Euglenozoa, Kinetoplastea, Trypanosomatida, Trypanosomatidae. The record is from RefSeq and is a predicted model, not a curated record.